CGGCACUUGCCAUUGGGUCAUAAUGGGAACUAAUCUCAUCACCUUCUUGGAAACCUGUCUCCAGCCGGUGUGGUGUAAUAAUUGGCGAACGCACAUGGAACAGCUUGCCGGUAUCUGGCAAAAAAUUGCUACCACCUAUUCGUAGAUUCGCGCUUCAAAUGCAUGACCGAUGCAGGGGAUCUUGUCUUGGGUGUAUGGAAGUGGAUUCCCAGCCGCAAUCUGUCUUUCACAUUCAUACCCGUUAUCAUUUCUGUGACAGGGUGUCUAAAGUCUAUUAGCUUGAAUAUCAACGUGCGUCGUGGCUGCACAGCUCACUCUACCUGUAAACGGGUAUUCCUGAAUGAUAUCAGCAAACAGGCUUGUAGUAGCAGUGGCUCUUCCCCACAGGGAAAAGCAUACACAGACACUUACAUCUCCAUGAAGAAGUGCUCGCCCGUCUCAGCAUCCAUGAUAAAUUCCACUGUCCCAGCCCCAACGCUGCACUAGUCAGUGAAGUAGGAAAAAACUAACUUACUAAUUGAUUGCUUUGGCUGCUGCUACCGCCUUUUCUGCGAAGUCUUGUUUCAACGCAGGUGACAAUCCUGGAGCUGGUGCUUCUUCAAUGAUUUCUAGUCGUUCGAUCCCUCUCCCAAAGCGCGACGCAAUUUCCAUAUUGAUCGCCGAAAACUUGUACUUCGACGUGUCUUGGUUUCUCCAACCACCUUUCUAGCAAGACUUCAUCAUUUCCAAAACUCUUCAAUGCUUCGGGUUGGGCAGAGAGAAGCUCAUCUUGAAGUGUCAAAGGAUCACGAACAAUGCGCAUCCCUUUACCUCCUCCGCCGUGGGUUGGUUUGAUAAUAAGGGGAUAACCUGUCUGCUGAGAGCCUUUGAGCAAUGCAUCCAUUCAACACAUAACGAGGCACAUACGGUACACAUGGCACACCAGCCGCUGUGCUUAGUGUCCGAUAAAAACGAGACCCGCAUCUCUUACUUUCUCUGCAAAGUCUGAAGAUUCUGAAAGAAAACCGUAUCCUGGGUGUAUUGCCUAUUUGGCGAGUGUUAGAGGACCAUUUAGAAGGAGCCGAAGAGACAUACUUCUGCCCCGCUCACAUAGCUCUCCGAACUUGGGGAGGGCCCGAUGAGGUAGGCCUCGUCAGCCUGACCUUUUUCAUUAGCAACCACAAAAUCGCAGAGAGCAGGAAAUGAGAUACCAUAGCAACGUGUUGACAGUUUCGAUCAGCUUCACUGUAUACUGAAACUGUGACAAUACCCAAUCGUCGAGCGGUGCGAAUGAUCGC
Molecule: small RNA, 1277 nt
Filed under: Cryptococcus neoformans H99
Lineage: Eukaryota; Fungi; Basidiomycota; Tremellomycetes; Tremellales; Cryptococcaceae
Description: Cryptococcus neoformans var. grubii H99 hypothetical RNA
Source: RNAcentral